This 79-nucleotide microRNA precursor is filed under the name Caenorhabditis brenneri. Its description in RNAcentral is "microRNA cbn-mir-7634 precursor". The record is from miRBase by way of RNAcentral. Lineage: Eukaryota; Metazoa; Nematoda; Chromadorea; Rhabditida; Rhabditidae.
GUUUCACAAUAUCGUCGAUAUGGAAGAUUUCAUUCCUAUCUUGGUGUUCGUCCCAUGGUUCGAGGUCCUUGUGGAACUU